CCUACGGGUGGCUGCAGUGAGGAAUAUUGGUCAAUGGCCGCAGGGCUGAACCAGCCAAGUCGCGUGAGGGAUGACGGUCCUAUGGAUGUUAAACCUCUUUUGUCAGGGAGCAAAGGGUGCCACUUGUGGCGCUUUGCGAGUACCUGAAGAAAAAGCCUCGGCAAACUCCGUGCCGGCAGCCGCGGUAAUACGGCGGAUUCGAUCGGUAUCCGGAUUUAUUGGGGUAAAAGGGUGCGCAGUCGGAAAGUAAAGUCAGCGGUAAACGUUAGGGGCUAAACCCCGUACUGCCGUUGAAACUGGCGUUCUUGAGUGAGGGAGAAGGAUGCGGAAUGCGGGGUGUAGCGGUGAAAUGCGUAGAUAUACGGAAGAACACCAGUGGCGAAGGCGGAAUACCGGAGCUCAACUGACGCUGAGGCACGAAAGCGUGGGUAGCGAACAGGAUUAGAUACCCGGGUAGUC
RNAcentral lists this ribosomal RNA (459 nucleotides) under uncultured bacterium. Its description in RNAcentral is "partial 16S ribosomal RNA". It matches the Rfam family "Bacterial small subunit ribosomal RNA", at positions 338 to 795 of the family's 1533-position model. The record is from RNAcentral.